UUUUAGCCCCGAUAGAAGUGAAAAUCCUUUGUGGGCUGGAGUUCAGCCCACAAAGAUUACUUCACUAUACUUUUAUUUUCAUAUGAGUUCAGUGAACUUCGUUUGUAACGGAAAGCGGGACAACUG
Molecule: small RNA, 126 nt
Filed under: Flavobacterium sp. 1
Lineage: Bacteria; Pseudomonadati; Bacteroidota; Flavobacteriia; Flavobacteriales; Flavobacteriaceae
Description: Flavo-1 RNA
Source: RNAcentral